RNAcentral lists this ribosomal RNA (472 nucleotides) under uncultured bacterium. RNAcentral describes it as "SSU rRNA". It matches the Rfam family "Bacterial small subunit ribosomal RNA", at positions 26 to 518 of the family's 1533-position model. The record is from RNAcentral.
AGGAUAAACGCUGGCGGCGUGCCUAACACAUGCAAGUCGAACGCGCUUUCGGGCUUCGGUGCGAGAGCGAGUGGCGGACGGGUGAGUAACACAUGGGUACCUGCCUUUCAGUGAGGGAUACCGGCGAGAAAUCGCCGACAAUACCGCAUGGGUUCUUGUGGGAACACAAGCAAAGUGGCGCAAGCCACGCUGGAAGAUGGGCCUGUGGCCGAUUAGCUAGUUGGGGGGGUAAUGGCCUCCCAAGGCGACGAUCGGUAGCUGGUCUGAGAGGACGAUCAGCCACACUGGGAUUGAGAACGGCCCAGACUCCUACGGGGGCAGCAGUGAGGAAUUUUCCGCAAUGGACGAAAGUCUGACGGAGCAACGCCGCGUGCAGGAGGAAGGUUUUCGGAUCGUAAACUGCUUUUCUCGGGGACGAGCAAGGACGGUACCCGAGGAACGAAGCCCCGGCUAACUACGUGCCAGCAGCCGC